This 73-nucleotide transfer RNA is filed under the name Bacteroidia bacterium. Its description in RNAcentral is "tRNA-Glu". It matches the Rfam family "tRNA". From Rfam's summary of the family: Transfer RNA (tRNA) molecules are approximately 80 nucleotides in length. Their secondary structure includes four short double-helical elements and three loops (D, anti-codon, and T loops). Lineage: Bacteria; Pseudomonadati; Bacteroidota; Bacteroidia. The record is from RNAcentral.
GGUCCGUUCGUCUAGUGGCUAGGACGCAAGAUUUUCAUUCUUGUAACACGAGUUCGAUUCUCGUACGGACUAC